Molecule: ribosomal RNA, 395 nt
Filed under: uncultured eukaryote
Lineage: Eukaryota
Description: partial 18S ribosomal RNA
Rfam family: Eukaryotic small subunit ribosomal RNA
Source: RNAcentral
CAAUAGCGUAUAUUAAAGUUGUUGCAGUUAAAAAGCUCGUAGUUGGAUUUCUGAAUUGAAUAUCCGGUCCGCUCGUCUCUGAUGAGUGCGUACUUAUGGAUAUUGGAUUCAUUUUUUGUGAGGACAUUUAUCUGUCAUUAAGUUGAUGGAUUUAUAGACUUGCAUCGUUUACUGUGAAAAAAUUAGAGUGUUUAAAGCAGGCGUUCGCCCAUUUGAAUACAUUAGCAUGGAAUAAUAAGAUAUGACUUUGGUGGUCUAUUUUGUUGGUUUGCACACCAGAGUAAUGAUUAAUAGGGACAGUUGGGGGUAUUCAUAUUUCAACGUCAGAGGUGAAAUUCUUAGAUCGUUGAAAGAUGACCUUAGGCGAAAGCAUUUACCAAGGAUGUUUUCAUUAA